GAAGAGAAGGAGAGCCAACCCUAAUCCUUCAAAAAUCUUCAAAUUGAAGCUCAAUCAUGCCUUAAAUCGAUGCAUGAACACAUAAAAACGAUCACCAAGCUUAGGGGAUCACAAGUUUGACGCUUAACGAGCUAGGUGGCGGCUUGGGAAAAGAAGCGAGUCAGACGGAUUGGGUACACGGAAAAAAAGCAUAACCGGAUGCUUGGUGAUCCUAGGUUGCAUCCGGAUGAUGAUCAAGUCAAGUAUCAAGAACCGAACACACAUCAUUGAAGCUUCCGCUAUGAUCUCAUUAUGUUUUGUUUUAAAACAAUCUAU
RNAcentral lists this long non-coding RNA (315 nucleotides) under Helianthus annuus (common sunflower). RNAcentral's name for it is "hypothetical non coding rna". The record is from RNAcentral. Lineage: Eukaryota; Viridiplantae; Streptophyta; Magnoliopsida; Asterales; Asteraceae.